GUGAGGAAUUUUCCGCAAUGGGCGAAAGCCUGACGGAGCAAUGCCGCGUGAAGGAUGAAGGCCUAUGGGUUGUAAACUUCUUUUCUCAGAAAAGAAUUAUGACGGUAUCUGAGGAAUAAGCAUCGGCUAACUCUGUGCCAGCAGCCGCGGUAAGACAGAGGAUGCAAGCGUUAUCCGGAAUGAUUGGGCGUAAAGCGUCUGUAGGUUGUUUAAAAAGUAUUCUGUCAAAGAUUAGGGCUUAACCCUAGAUAGGCAGAAUAAACUUUUAAGCUAGAGUUUGGUAGAGGCGGAGGGAAUUCCCGGUGGAGCGGUGAAAUGCGUAGAUAUCGGGAGGAACACCAAAGGCGAAGGCACUCUGCUGGGCCAAUACUAACACUGAGAGACGAAAGCGAGGGGAGCAAAUGGGAUUAGAAACCCGAGUAGUCC
Molecule: ribosomal RNA, 426 nt
Filed under: uncultured bacterium
Lineage: Bacteria
Description: bacterial SSU rRNA
Rfam family: Bacterial small subunit ribosomal RNA
Source: RNAcentral